RNAcentral lists this ribosomal RNA (705 nucleotides) under uncultured Bacteroidales bacterium. Its description in RNAcentral is "bacterial SSU rRNA". It matches the Rfam family "Bacterial small subunit ribosomal RNA", at positions 55 to 749 of the family's 1533-position model. The record is from RNAcentral. Lineage: Bacteria; Pseudomonadati; Bacteroidota; Bacteroidia; Bacteroidales.
AUGCAAGUCGAGGGGCAGCAUGGUCUUAGCUUGCUAAGGCCGAUGGCGACCGGCGCACGGGUGAGUAACACGUAUCCAACCUGCCGUCUACUCUUGGACAGCCUUCUGAAAGGAAGAUUAAUACAAGAUGGCAUCAUGAGUUCACAUGUUCACAUGAUUAAAGGUAUUCCGGUAGACGAUGGGGAUGCGUUCCAUUAGAUAGUAGGCGGGGUAACGGCCCACCUAGUCUUCGAUGGAUAGGGGUUCUGAGAGGAAGGUCCCCCACAUUGGAACUGAGACACGGUUCAAACUCCUACGGGAGGCAGCAGUGAGGAAUAUUGGUCAAUGGGCGAGAGCCUGAACCAGCCAAGUAGCGUGAAGGAUGACUGCCCUAUGGGUUGUAAACUUCUUUUAUAAAGGAAUAAAGUCGGGUAUGCAUACCCGUUUGCAUGUACUUUAUGAAUAAGGAUCGGCUAACUCCGUGCCAGCAGCCGCGGUAAUACGGAGGAUCCGAGCGUUAUCCGGAUUUAUUGGGUUUAAAGGGAGCGUAGAUGGAUGUUUAAGUCAGUUGUGAAAGUUUGCGGCUCAACCGUAAAAUUGCAGUUGAUACUGGAUAUCUUGAGUGCAGUUGAGGCAGGCGGAAUUCGUGGUGUAGCGGUGAAAUGCUUAGAUAUCACGAAGAACUCCGAUUGCGAAGGCAGCCUGCUAAGCUGCAACUGACAUUGA